This is a long non-coding RNA of Nycticebus coucang (slow loris), 1246 nucleotides long. RefSeq lists it as uncharacterized. NCBI's taxonomy places the organism in Eukaryota, Metazoa, Chordata, Mammalia, Primates, Lorisidae. The record is from RefSeq and is a predicted model, not a curated record. The transcript is spliced from 3 exons.
GUAAGAUACUGGUUUUUCCAGGAAUGGUUGUAUUAUUGGAUUGCACAGUAGAAGGUUUUCCUUUUUAUCGACAUUUUGUCAAUAAAAACAGGCUUCUGCUUCAAUUUAGUCACCAUCUAUGGAGCCUCUGCUGAGGGUGACGCAUCUCAGGCCUGGUACUAGGGAUAUAAGACAAGGAGGCUCAGACAUUGUCCUUGCCCCCAGAAUAUACCUGAAAACAAAGCAUGACAAGGCAGGGUGACAGGGCCCCAUUGGUGUGGAGGCAGCUCAUGGGAAUAAUCCCCUCUGUCAUACACUGGCACCACUCAGAGAGGUGGCUCCAUUUCUGAAGCUCCCUCCCCACUGCCUUCCCACGGGGGACAGAGAGCCCAGUCCCUGCCCCUGGCUGAGCAGCUCCACUCACUGCCACCUCCCACCACAGACUAAUUGCAGACCUUCCAUCUUCUCUUUCAGGCCUUCCCACUGGGUAAUUUUAGGUUAAACCACAUGAAAUUGCCAAUAGUCAACCAUUUUUCUCCAACAACAGCAAUUUCAAAAAGUUCAGCUGAGAGCUUCUUCCUUGGCUUCGGUGAUAUUUCCCACGAGCAAUAAAUGUGAAGUCGGAUGUAUUCCAGGAGAACGUAAAUCUGACAAAAUGACGGAUGAAUUGCAAAGAACUCUCCCUUUUUGAUGGUGGAGAACUCUCCCCUUUUGAUGGAUGAGGACCCUGACUUUGACGUGGGAGACAGGGCAGAAAAAGGAAUCUGGGUAAGCCCGGAUCACUCUGGAAGACUCAACCAUUCUUUGCAGGGCCAGCCGAGCGACACUGCCGCUCAGAAGGUCUCGGGUUUCACGCUGCCUUCGUUAUUCAAUAUGUCUGACUUCAUAUAAAGAAGCUUUGUUUAGGGGGGUGAGCUAAUUGAGCAUCAAGGUAUAUGAUAUAAACCUUGCCCUCAAGGAAUGUAAUGUAAUUUUUAACUGUUUCCAGAACAAGACUCCAGCAACUCUGAACCCUGUUCAGAAACCACAGCAGUUAGUUUUCUGUUUUUAAGUACUUUUUUACUCUGGACAGAGAAGUUGAAAAUCAUGAGGGAGUAGGCUUUCUUUUCCAAAAACCACAGGUCCAUUACCUGUCAGAAUAUCUUCAGCUUCUUGGGGAAAUGAGAUGACAACUAAUUUUCGCCUCGAAUUCAUCCUGGUCUUCACAUAAAGACCAGUGGGCAACAUUCAUUGACAAAGGAGCUGUGUGUGGGAUUACCAAGAUGGA